AGCCCUCAAUGCCAUUGGUGGAGCCAACUUUGUGGAUGGGGUGAGGGCGAUCGUCAAGAACAUUGGACAGAACAAGCUCUGGGAAAACUACAGCCUAAAAGGGAUGAAGGGCAAACUGCCAUUGAAAGACCUCUCCAUAUGCAGGGUCAUAGUCAAAGCAUGCCAGAUGACAUUCAAGUCCGUCAAAACCCAAGAGGUCCAUGACGAGCUAACGGAGGUGCUGAAGUAUGCCCCCCACAGGUGUGGAGGAUCCAAGCACAAGCCAGAUCGAGAGGAGCCAGAUGAGGUGGUUCGGGCAUCUGGUCAGGAUGCC
Nerophis lumbriciformis (worm pipefish) is the source of this 313-nucleotide long non-coding RNA. RefSeq lists it as uncharacterized. The record is from RefSeq and is a predicted model, not a curated record. Lineage: Eukaryota; Metazoa; Chordata; Actinopteri; Syngnathiformes; Syngnathidae.